GUUGUAACAUGGCUUAUGUCAAGGUAGGAUAAUUUGAAAGAGUAGGCUUAAACAUUUGGAGUUAGGUACCUAACUUUCCUUAUUUUAUCAAAUUUCUCUUCAAACAAUUCUUUGCUUUGUCUAUUGGUACUAUAGAUGGUCUUUUCCAAUCAUUUUUUUUUCUCUUUUUCUCCUUUUUUUAAGAAGUUAUUUAACUUCUUCGCUUUCUUUUUCACAAUUUUUUUAUUUUUGACCAGUUUUUCUAGUACUCCAACCCCAAAUUUAAACUUUACUCACUUCCAAGGGCAAUUCCAAACUAUUCUUUUGCCUGCA
RNAcentral lists this long non-coding RNA (312 nucleotides) under Lathyrus oleraceus (garden pea). Its description in RNAcentral is "Pisum sativum (pea) long non-coding RNA (PSAT_LNC000125)". Lineage: Eukaryota; Viridiplantae; Streptophyta; Magnoliopsida; Fabales; Fabaceae. The record is from RNAcentral.